GCCUUCGUGGCUCAGCGGUUAGAGCGUCCUCUGUGAUUGUAGUGACUUGGAAUCAGUAGCAUAUGAGGAAGGCGUGGGUUCGACUCCCGCCGAGGGCA
Mycena alexandri is the source of this 98-nucleotide non-coding RNA. Lineage: Eukaryota; Fungi; Basidiomycota; Agaricomycetes; Agaricales; Mycenaceae. The record is from the annotation of a GenBank genome assembly.